Molecule: long non-coding RNA, 1930 nt
Filed under: Solanum tuberosum (potato)
Lineage: Eukaryota; Viridiplantae; Streptophyta; Magnoliopsida; Solanales; Solanaceae
Description: long non-coding RNA (STUB_LNC006271)
Source: RNAcentral
UCCCUAUCAAAAUAAUAUCUAUUUAGUCAACUUGUAUGAAGUCUUUAAAAGCUCCAUCUCCCACUAUAGAUUCAAUUCUUCAAAACCUGUAAAAAGAUAUAAAAUAAAUUUUGUAAUGAGAAAACAUCACUACUAAUUUUAUAGUAAGCAUAGUUUAAAAUGAAAGGGGUGAUUGCCAUUCUUCAAAACAAAAAACUCUAAGCAAAAGAAUAUAGUAAGCAUAGUUUUUAAGAAAAGAAGGGUAAUUACCAUUCUUCAAAAAUAAGAAAGCUAAGGAAACAAUCAUUAAAUAACAAAAUUAUUUUUUUAACAACAAUCUAUACUAAUGAGACUGAGUUCUGAUUGAAGCAAAAUACAUCCCAAUCAAAUACUCACAAUCAAUAAAUGACAUAAUAAGAUUCUAAUUAAUAUACAACAAUAUGGGUUUGAUAUACCAUUUUAACUCUUAGCUAUUUGUGCAUUUUAAAACACAUACAACAUAUUUUUAACAGACCAUGGUAAUCCAUUCACUGAUAUGGAAACUGAUAUCCAGUGGAUUGAAUUUUUUCAAACGUUGAUAUGUGAAUCCCAUUUGCUACGCCAUCAGAUGGUGCACUUGCUCCCAUUUUAUCAGUCUAAGCAAGUGUUUCUUAGUUGUAAUUUAUUUCCCAUCUAUAAGGUUUACUACAAUAUCUGUAACAUCUUUCGGUAGCAAUUACAAUCAAAAUUAAUGUAUUAGAUGUUUAUCAGCCUUAGCUAUGUAUAACCUGUACUAUCAUCAGUCAUUACAGAAUGUUUCUGUUUUCAAAAGCAUGGUUACAUAUAUAAAUAGUAAACAUGAUCCAUUCAUUUUUCAUACAACACAUAACAAUUUAAGCAAUAUCAAAAGAGUGAAUGGACCUUCAGAUUUAGUAGAUUGGAAUUGAGAGGGACAAGCAAUAAAAAACUUCUUGCACACAAGAACAUACCUGCCAUCGAAAAAGUGAUUUAUAUUCACCUUCCCUUUAGCAUCAGAUAAUAUAAGUUAAAUCACCACAACAUUGUGUCCAUCGCCAACACUCUGUACUCAUUACAUGAAUGUUUGUGCUUUCCCCAAAGCUUGAACAUGAAUGUCAACAUCCGAGUCUCGUCUUGUAUAAUUAAAAUGACAGAUAACAUUUAAGUAGUCAGUAUGUUAGCAGAUGCAAAGUAAAAUAUUUGUUUCAGAAGAGAAAUUUAUCUACCUCAUAAAUGUGACAAAUUAAUAAAACAUUAAAUUCAACUGAGUUAGUACAUGUGAAAAACUUACGUAUGCCAGGUGAACCACUUAUUCAAGUGUUUCAAGUGUUCAUUCUUUAACACUAAAGCACCGUGAAAGUGAAACAAGCAUGCAAAAAACUUUCUUCUUAAUUACAUUAUUGGUUUUUGUUUCUCUCUAAAUAUGCCAUAACACUGCCCUAGUGUAGACAUGAAAAUUAUAAAUUUUAUAACAAUGUGUAGACAUGGAAAAAUUGGGCUAGACUUUAUUAAUAAUCUAAUCAAUUUAUCCAUAAUUUUUUUUAACUUAUGUGGGUUUCUGGCAUUUAACACAAGGCUAUACAUACUUAAAGACAGGUGUAUCAAUGUCUUUGCGUAAAUAAACUUUCGAAAGGUACUAAUGGGUAGAAUCAAAGAUACAAGAUAUCAAACAAAGAAAUCGUAAUGCAAAUACAAUAUGAAGGUGAAUCAUUUAGUGAAAUUACUAAAAUGAUAUUUAUCUAGCUGAGCUUCGAAAGGAGUGACAUGAAAGCAUGACAAAAAGUAUAAAAAUAAGUUCAGGAAAAAGCAUGCUUACUACUAUUAGGAUAAAUAAAUUAACUGAUAUCGUACUUCCUCGAGAUGCAUAGAGUUAUUGUAGUUUAGGAAUGGAUGACCAAUUAACUUUGUUACAAGCUCACAGCAAGACGAACCUUUGUUUCUGACAGGGACUACC